RNAcentral lists this transfer RNA (65 nucleotides) under Schultesia lampyridiformis. RNAcentral describes it as "tRNA-Glu". Lineage: Eukaryota; Metazoa; Arthropoda; Insecta; Blattodea; Blaberidae. The record is from RNAcentral.
AUUUAUGUAGUUUAAAAUAAAACAUUACAUUUUCACUGUAAAAAUAUUUAUAAUAAUCAUAAAUU